Non-coding RNA from Carica papaya (papaya), 202 nucleotides. Lineage: Eukaryota; Viridiplantae; Streptophyta; Magnoliopsida; Brassicales; Caricaceae. The record is from RefSeq and is a predicted model, not a curated record.
GUUUUUGUCACUUUUCUCUGAUUGAUAUUUUAUUGUCUGCUUUCCUUAUUUGUUUAGUUGACGGCACUGAAGUCCUGCCAUGAUCGCAACAUCAUCCACAGGGAUAUCAAACCUGAAAACAUGGUGAUAUGCUUUGAAGAUCAAGAAACAGGGAGAUGCUUAAAAGGAGCUCCGAAUGGAGAUAAGCCCUUCAACACCAAAA